This 404-nucleotide ribosomal RNA is filed under the name Fusobacteriota bacterium. Its description in RNAcentral is "Fusobacteria bacterium partial 16S ribosomal RNA". It matches the Rfam family "Bacterial small subunit ribosomal RNA", at positions 355 to 776 of the family's 1533-position model. Lineage: Bacteria; Fusobacteriati; Fusobacteriota. The record is from RNAcentral.
UGGGGAAUAUUGCACAAUGGAGGGAACUCUGAUGCAGCGACGCCGCGUGAGUGAUGAAGGAAUUCGUUUCGUAAAACUCUGUUCUAUGGGAAGAAAAGGACUGUACCAUAGGAGAAAGCUCCGGCUAAAUACGUGCCAGCAGCCGCGGUAAUACGUAUGGAGCGAGCGUUGUCCGGAAUUAUUGGGCGUAAAGGGUGCGCAGGCGGCUUUACAAGUUGGAUGUGAAAUAUUGUGGCUCAACCACGAACGUGCAUCCAAAACUGCAAAGCUUGAGUUAAGGAGAGGUAAGUGGAAUUCCUGGUGUAGCGGUGGAAUGCGUAGAUAUCAGGAGGAAUACCGGUGGCGAAGGCGACUUACUGGACUUAAACUGACGCUCAGGCACGAAAGCGUGGGGAGCAAACAGG